This 1920-nucleotide unclassified non-coding RNA is filed under the name Cotesia glomerata. Its description in RNAcentral is "hemicentin-2-like, transcript variant X2". Lineage: Eukaryota; Metazoa; Arthropoda; Insecta; Hymenoptera; Braconidae. The record is from RNAcentral.
CUCCAGCAGUACAACCCCAACGUUCUCGGUGGUUGUUUCGCGCGCGUCUUAAUGAGAAUAUUGUUGGAUAAAAAAUUUAUCGCUAGUAUUUUAUCUAAAGAUUUUGAAAUAUCCGUACUCUUUUUUUUUUAAGUAAAAUAACGAAUAAUUUUCCCGUGUGUUAAUUAAAAAUCCAAUAGAUCAAUAAAUAAUUAGUGGUGAUUGUUUAAAUAAAGUUUCAAGUGUAAGUGUAGUUUCAAAGUAGUUCCAAAGUUUUAAUUUCUCAUCAACGUUGAUUAAAAUAGAUUAAUCAAACUGUUGCAAUUACAUCCCGUUAAUCAGUGUCACGGAUAUGGAUUAUUUAGGCAAUUACAAGUGAAUUUUAUUACCACUGUAAGAUUAAAGAAUAUCAGUGGUUAUUUUUACUGAAAAUAAAAGCCGCGUUUAAAGUAAAUUUCUGGUGGAAAGUGAUUUUGUGGAAAAGUUUCUAUUUAUUUAUUUAUUUGUUUUUUUUUAUUUGAAUUUUAACCGUGUUUUUUAUGAAUUAAAAAAGUGUGAGUUAUUUAUGUAACAAUAAUAAUUAUUGUUAUUAUUAUUAUAUUUACUUUGGAACGUAUUAUGUUGGACGUUCUGCGGAUUUAUUUUAUCACCAAUGGAUUACUGUGAUUUAUGGCAACAUAUACGUACUUAUAAAUUCAUUCUGUGGUUCUAUUUGUUCUAUUGAAUAUCUGUAUUAUGGAAUUUAUGGAUGAAUUUGUUUAAUUGUGACAAAAUAAAUACAAAUUGAAUAAUUGGUUGUAUAAAAUACAACAGUGCUGAUAUUAUUGUGAUUAUAGUGUUUUUUUUUUAGUGAAUAUCAACUCAAUAAACUGCUGUGUUUAUUCGUACUGGCUGGAUAUCCAUGGGAAACUGAUUUUUUUCUGCGAGUGAAAGGAAAUGGCGGGCUUCUCGGUAUGGGGACAUUUAUUACUGGUGAUCAUUGGAGGUAUCCAGAUACUUAAAGCUGAACCUUCUGCUCUUCCUACUGUCAAAAGUGCUGGUUCAAGCCUUGCAAGUGUCGUAGCAGGUGAUACAAAGCUUGUUCGGUCAUGGGAUAAGCCUUCCUUUGACGACACUUCCCAAAAAAAUGUGACGGCCAUCGUGGGUCAAAGAGCAUCGCUCAGUUGUCACGUUAAAAACCGCGGGAAUCGCACGAUAUCCUGGAUGAGAAUGAAAGACAUCCACAUUCUGACGUCCUCGAUAGUGACGUACACAGGAGACGAAAGAUUUUCAGUAAAGCACCCAGUGGGAAGCGACGAGUGGCGACUAUUAAUCGACUAUGUCCAGCCUAGGGACGCUGGGCUCUACGAAUGCCAAGUUAACACUGAGCCCAAACUUAAGAUGUCCUUUGCGUUGAGGGUCGAAGAGACUUCGCUCCCUGAUGUCAAGUCAAACGCGGUGCGACGGAAAUUUGAAUCAGCGGCCCAGGCGACUAUAUUUGGGGCCGAAGACGUCUACGUAAAAAAAGGCAGCACAAUUAGUCUUACGUGCAAAGUUAACGUCCAUAGUACCCCGCCAAGCAGCGUUACGUGGCAUCACGGUAGCGCUGUCGUUGAUUUUGACAGUCCAAGCGUUCACCAUAGGGGCGGCGUCUCCCUGGAAACGGAGAAGACGGAGAGCGGCACGACGAGCAAACUGCUGGUGACGCAGGCGAGAUCAAGCGACAGCGGAAAUUAUACUUGCAUCCCCAGUAACGCAAACCCUGCGAGCGUAAUGGUCCACGUUCUAAACGGUGAACACCCAGCAGCAAUGCAACACGGCGGAAGUUGUCGAUUAACCCCAACUAUAUUAAUGGCCCUGCUCACACUUUUUACGGCUAACUUACUCAGAUGAGCUAAUAUCCUGGAUAUCUAUAGGCCUAAUUAUAAAUAAAUACAUCAAUUAGUGCACAACUUCACAACU